Molecule: ribosomal RNA, 615 nt
Filed under: uncultured Lachnospiraceae bacterium
Lineage: Bacteria; Bacillati; Bacillota; Clostridia; Lachnospirales; Lachnospiraceae
Description: bacterial SSU rRNA
Rfam family: Bacterial small subunit ribosomal RNA
Source: RNAcentral
GACGAUGAAGAGCUUGCUUUUCAAAGUUAGUGGCGGACGGGUGAGUAACGCGUGGGUAACCUGCCUCAUACAGGGGAAUAGCAGCUGGAAACGGCUGAUAAAACCGCAUAAGCGCACAGUGCCGCAUGGCACAGUGUGAAAAACUCCGGUGGUAUGAGAUGGACCCGCGUCUGAUUAGCUGGUUGGCGGGGUAACGGCCCACCAAGGCGACGAUCAGUAGCCGGCCUGAGAGGGUGAUCGGCCACAUUGGGACUGAGACACGGCCCAAACUCCUACGGGAGGCAGCAGUGGGGAAUAUUGCACAAUGGGGGAAACCCUGAUGCAGCGACGCCGCGUGAAGGAAGAAGUAUCUCGGUAUGUAAACUUCUAUCAGCAGGGAAGAUAAUGACGGUACCUGACUAAGAAGCCCCGGCUAACUACGUGCCAGCAGCCGCGGUAAUACGUAGGGGGCAAGCGUUAUCCGGAUUUACUGGGUGUAAAGGGAGCGUAGGCGGCGGAGCAAGUCAGAAGUGAAAGCCCGGGGCUCAACCCCGGGACGGCUUUUGAAACUGCCCUGCUUGAUUUCAGGAGAGGUAAGCGGAAUUCCUAGUGUAGCGGUGAAAUGCGUAGAUAUUA